Molecule: ribosomal RNA, 253 nt
Filed under: uncultured bacterium
Lineage: Bacteria
Description: partial 16S ribosomal RNA
Rfam family: Bacterial small subunit ribosomal RNA
Source: RNAcentral
GACAGAGGGUGCGAACGUUGCUCGGAAUCACUGGGCGUAAAGCGCGCGUAGGCGGACCGGAAAGUCGGUUGUGAAAUCCCUGGGCUCAACCCAGGAACUGCAUCCGAAACUCCCGGUCUCGAGUGACGGAGAGGAUAGUGGAAUUCCCGGUGUAGAGGUGAAAUUCGUAGAUAUCGGGAGGAACACCAGUGGCGAAGGCGGCUAUCUGGACGUCCACUGACGCUGAGGUGCGAAAGCGUGGGGAGCAAACAGG